RNAcentral lists this ribosomal RNA (708 nucleotides) under uncultured Tsukamurella sp. RNAcentral describes it as "bacterial SSU rRNA". It matches the Rfam family "Bacterial small subunit ribosomal RNA", at positions 301 to 1019 of the family's 1533-position model. The record is from RNAcentral. Lineage: Bacteria; Bacillati; Actinomycetota; Actinomycetes; Mycobacteriales; Tsukamurellaceae.
CGACCGGCCACACUGGGACUGAGACACGGCCCAGACUCCUACGGGAGGCAGCAGUGGGGAAUAUUGCACAAUGGGCGCAAGCCUGAUGCAGCGACGCCGCGUGAGGGAUGACGGCCUUCGGGUUGUAAACCUCUUUCAGUAGGGACGAAGCGCAAGUGACGGUACCUACAGAAGGAGCACCGGCCAACUACGUGCCAGCAGCCGCGGUAAUACGUAGGGUGCGAGCGUUGUCCGGAAUUACUGGGCGUAAAGAGCCCGUAGGCGGUUUGUCGCGUCGUCUGUGAAAACCCGAGGCUUAACUUCGGGCCUGCAGGCGAUACGGGCAGACUUGAGUACUGUAGGGGAGACUGGAAUUCCUGGUGUAGCGGUGGAAUGCGCAGAUAUCAGGAGGAACACCGGUGGCGAAGGCGGGUCUCUGGGCAGUAACUGACGCUGAGGAGCGAAAGCGUGGGUAGCGAACAGGAUUAGAUGCCCUGGUAGUCCACGCCGUAAACGGUGGGUACUAGGUGUGGGUUUCCUUCCACGGGAUCCGUGCCGUAGCUAACGCAUUAAGUACCCCGCCUGGGGAGUACGGCCGCAAGGCUAAACUCAAUGGAAUUGACGGGGGCCCGCACAAGCGGCGGAGCAUGUGGAUUAAUUCGAUGCAACGCGAAGAACCUUACCUGGGUUUGACAUAUAGAGGAUCGCCGCUGAGAUAUGGUUUGCCUU